AUUAGAUACCCUGGUAGUCCACGCCGUAAACGAUGAUUACUAGGUGUCGGUGGGUCAAGACCCAUCGGUGCCGUCGCAAACGCAGUAAGUAAUCCACCUGGGGAGUACGUUCGCAAGAAUGAAACUCAAAGGAAUUGACGGGGACCCGCACAAGCGGAGGAACAUGUGGUUUAAUUCGAUGAUACGCGAGGAACCUUACCCGGGCUCAAACGGGAGAUGACUCGGCCAGAGACGGCCGUUUCCGCAAGGACAUCUUCCGAGGUGCUGCAUGGUUGUCGUCAGCUCGUGCCGUGAGGUGUCGGCUUAAGUGCCAUAACGAGCGCAACCCCCGCGGGCAGUUGCUAACAGGUCAAGCUGAGGACUCUGCCCGGACUGCCGGCGCAAGCCGUGAGGAAGGCGGGGAUGACGUCAAAUCAGCACGGCCCUUACGUCCGGGGCGACACACGUGUUACAAUGGUCGGUACAGCGGGAAGCCAGGCGGCGACGCCGAGCGGAACCCGAAAGCCGGUCUCAGUUCGGAUCGGAGUCUGCAACCCGACUCCGUGAAGCUGGAUUCGCUAGUAAUCGCGCAUCAGCCAUGGCGCGGUGAAUACGUUCCCGGGCCUUGUACACACCGCCCGUCAAGCCAUGGAAGCCGGGAGUGCCUGAAGUGCGUGAGCGCAAGCAGCGCCCUAAGGUAAAAACCGGUGACUGGGGCUAAGUCGUAACAAGGUACC
RNAcentral lists this ribosomal RNA (716 nucleotides) under uncultured bacterium. RNAcentral's name for it is "bacterial SSU rRNA". It matches the Rfam family "Bacterial small subunit ribosomal RNA", at positions 777 to 1500 of the family's 1533-position model. The record is from RNAcentral.